UUAAACAAACAAAUGGAAACAGGGAGAAAAGAGAUAACCCUACACUGAAGAACCGCUUUCCUGCUCGAAGAACAUCAGUGACUCAAAAGGUAAUAAAUGCAGGCUGGACUCCAGCACUGUAAACCAUGCUGGUCUCACGUUAGAGCUAGGGGACAACGUCUGGGUGACCAGACAAGUUUCCCAUGAAGGCAUCAGCCCAAAUCCUGAGGACAAUCCUUAAUCGAGCACCGGGGGCAGAGCAGGGAGGCCAGGCCCACCUGCCUGCACUUUGCCAUCACCAGGGCCCACAGCUGCAGGUGGUUGGCGAGGGGCUGGGGGAUAAAUGAGGAGCUGGGGACAAGGUUUCCCCUCCAGCAGUGUGAGGGGCAGUCUGCACCAGGCUUGUGGGGUAUUGCCUGCUUUGUGCCUGCCUUGGGAAGCACGCGGAGCUGCUGCUUUGGCCGUGAGGCCCUGCUGUGAAGCCUGCAUGUGUGGCUCGGCUGGUGAAGUAAAUUCCCGGCGAUGUCAGAUCGCGUGAUGGUGGAGCCGGUUCGAAGCCCCCGCUCUCAAAGCGACUUCCAGCAGACCAUGACGGGGAUCAAGAGGUUUCCCCCAGCCCACCUCCUCCCUGGUUGGUGUGCGUGGCGCAGGCAGAGAUGCUCUGGGUUUUGUCUCUAAUUAUUGCCUCACCACCCUCUGGGGCAUUGCUGUAGCUGCUGCCCACAUUCACCCCUCUUGACUCAUAAUUGCUGUUGAAGCUUCUGAGACUAGAGAUCAAAGUAUUCAUGUCAUUCAUGUUCCUGUCAAAGGUCUUAUCGUCAAAGCGCCAACUAUAUUUCGAGAGACGUCUCCUUUUCUCAAGAGCAACAGACAAACUUGCCUCUGCCUUUUUUCCCUCCCCGUUGCAGUGGUGCUGCGAGGCAGGGACAGUGCACGGAGGGCCUGGGUGCUGCUGGCCAUCACCAAACCCUGCACCCCGGGGGAUUUAACUGUUGAAUGUCCCAAGCAAAACCUCUGCAUCAAAUUUUUCUCUUUUCUGACCUGUGCUGCAAGGUAGGGCUGGAGCUCACUGCCUGCUGCCUGCAUUUCAUUUGGGCUCCCAGGAGCACGAGUGCAGCUUGCUGAGGGUCAGCACCCUGGCAGGACACCAGCAGGGUGCUGCUGUGGUCAGAGGCGAGGGUAUCCCAUGGCUUGGCUGGUAGUUGUGUUGCUCUUGCAGCACAAAGAGAGGUGAAAGGAAAAAGCUUCCUGAUUUAGUGGGGUUAAAUGCUGGUUUUAAGCUUUGGAAGCAAAUUAUCCUUAAUUUCGGUGAAACGAUUCUCGCCUGCACCCCACCGGACACCCACACAGCUCGGACACCAGCAGUGCCCGGCCAUGGCAGCACCAAUCUACCCAGCCAGCCACGUGCGAGGCGAUCCCUGCGUGGACACACGCCUCUGGAAAAGGAGGAAAGUGCUUCCAGGUGUGGUGCUCAGUCAAAAGGAGUCCCAGCCCCUUCCCCUUCAUCCUCAGUUCCCAAACGGGUGCCCUCAGAUGCUCCCCGGCCGGCUCUGUCCUGCUCUGACUUCUCUCCGAGCCCAGCAGGAAGGGGCUGGCCCGGCUGCUUCAUCCUGCCUGGUUUUAUGGUGUGGGUAAGUGCAAACUUCCAGCGCAGCCUGCAGAGAAGCAGCUGUAAUGGAGCAGUGCUCCAAGGCGCUGCGGGGUUCCUGUGCUCUCCGAAUCACUGUUUUUGUCUCAUGUUUUUAUGCUCGCCAGAAAUAAGUUAUUUCUGGUUAAAGGCAUUCACUGCUGACUUCUGCGCUCAGGCCCCAGGGGCAUUUUCGAGAAGAGGCACUGCAGCGUGGUGCAUUUGACUUCUGGCAAGGCCCUCUCCUCUAGAAAAUCAGCAAAGCCUUGAGCUGGAAAUACUGGGAGUGUCUUGGAAAGAUGGGAUGGGGCCUGCGGGUUCAUUCCCUGCACCCCAGCCCUGUCACUGUGCCAGCGGGCUCAGCGCUGCCUCUGCCCCCGCGCUCAGCGGGGCCAGAUCCUGCCCACCAAGAAGGGGCCGCACGCAGCGGGGCAGCCCCGCCGCCGCAGCAACUUGGGAUGAGUUUCUGCGAGUCCUCGGGAUCCGGAGCAGGAGAAGAACUUUAUAAAAUUCUCCACGACCAGUCGAGCGGAACCUAUUUUCUCUCACAAUGCAAUUAACGGCACCAACAUUUACAAAAUAUGAUUACAAGCACUUUGGUUAAGUAGAGGAAAGUAUAUUAGAUAGCAGCGAGGGGUUGAUCUUAAUGUGCAUUUUUUCGAGAGACUUGCAUUUUCUUUGUGCAAAUAAAGAGGCCCUAAAUUCUCCAUAGGCACUAAAAUCAAUGCAGUGGAACCAUGAUAACAAACACAGGCUCCACUUUUUGCUACAUCCCCCAAUUAAUUAAGCCUUUCACGGGCAUGUAAUUAGGAACAUUAGCAAGUCAUAAAAUUGCCGUGAGUCUCUAAAUUAUGUGCUGGCCCUCAGCAAUUUGUUUUUAAUUCCUUUUGAAGACAAUGGCACUGCGGGGUCCCAUAGAUCUUCAUAGCAGCCUACUGUUUACUUCUUUAUGGCUCUAUGAAGAUCUAACUGUUUUCUACUGCUCCCAGAUGCACCCACGCUAUUUUCUGGCGCGGUUUCAUUACCUGGGUCGGAUUUAAAGGGGAACGGUGCCCGCCUGCCCCGCGCAGCUCCUGGCCACCCGGGCUCCCCCAGCCAGCAGCCGCCGCUCGUGCGCCUGCAUGGGGACGCCCGCGAGGCCAGGGAGAUGGAUAAAUAAAUGAAGCAGGCUCAUUUCAGGGGAAGGUUUAUUUCCCUGUUAUUGUGAUUUACUCCUCCUUGAUGAGAGUGUCUCUUUCACAGCGGAGGCGCGGAAAAACAUUUGUGCGAUCUCGGGGUCAAGAACAGGAGAAAGAAGUAAAUAGUGGAAGCAAAUUGUUUUUUCUUCCAAAAUAUCCUGGGUCAUUUACAGCUGACGGGUCGCCGCAAUAAUAGCCGGACACGUGCUCUAAUAGCUGGGUUGUUUCCUGAUGGAUACGUGGAGCUGGCUGCCCGUUUUUGGCACGGUUUGGGGUUUUGAGGUGCUGGUUUGGUGGGUGGCAGGAGCUGAGCUGCUCCCAACACGCUUCCCACACUCACUGUUCCCCGCUCGUGGUCGAUUAACACUGCGGAAUUACGAAACGGGUUUAAUGAGAAGAAUAAAGAGAAGCUGCAAUAAGA
Long non-coding RNA from Anas platyrhynchos (mallard), 3205 nucleotides. RefSeq lists it as uncharacterized. Lineage: Eukaryota; Metazoa; Chordata; Aves; Anseriformes; Anatidae. The record is from RefSeq and is a predicted model, not a curated record.